GGCGGCGUGCCUAACACAUGCAAGUCGAACGAGAAAGUGGAGCAAUCCAUGAGUAAAGUGGCGCACGGGUGAGUAACACGUGACUAACCUACCCUUGAGUGGGGAAUAACUUCGGGAAACCGAGGCUAAUACCGCAUAACACCUACGGGUCAAAGGAGCAAUUCGCUUAAGGAGGGGGUCGCGGCAGAUUAGUUAGUUGGCGGGGUAAUGGCCCACCAAGACGGUGAUCUGUAUCCGGCCUGAGAGGGCGCACGGACACACUGGAACUGAAACACGGUCCAGACUCCUACGGGAGGCAGCAGUGGGGAAUUUUGCGCAAUGGGGGAAACCCUGACGCAGCAACGCCGCGUGGAGGAUGAAGUCCCUUGGGACGUAAACUCCUUUCGAUCGGGACGAUUAUGA
RNAcentral lists this ribosomal RNA (402 nucleotides) under uncultured Acidobacteriota bacterium. Its description in RNAcentral is "bacterial SSU rRNA". It matches the Rfam family "Bacterial small subunit ribosomal RNA", at positions 38 to 454 of the family's 1533-position model. Lineage: Bacteria; Pseudomonadati; Acidobacteriota. The record is from RNAcentral.